AGUGAACGCUGGCGGUAUGCCUAACACAUGCAAGUCGAACGGCAGCACAGUAAGAGCUUGCUCUUACGGGUGGCGAGUGGCGGACGGGUGAGGAGUACAUCGGAAUCUACUUUUUCGUGGGGGAUAACGUAGGGAAACUUACGCUAAUACCGCAUACGACCUACGGGUGAAAGCAGGGGAGCUUCGGACCUUGCGCGAUUGAAUUAGCCGCCGUCGGAUUAGCUAGUUGGCGGGGUAAAGGCCCACCAAGGCGACGAUCCGUAGCUGGUCUGAGAGGAUGAUCAGCCACACUGGAACUGAGACACGGUCCAGACUCCUACGGGAGGCAGCAGUGGGGAAUAUUGGACAAUGGGCGCAAGCCUGAUCCAGCAAUACCGCGUGGGUGAAGAAGGCCUUCGGGUUGUAAAGCCCUUUUGUUGGGAAAGAAAAGCAGCAGGUUAAUACCCCGCUGUUCUGACGGUACCCAAAGAAUAAGCACCGGCUAACUUCGUG
Molecule: ribosomal RNA, 492 nt
Filed under: uncultured bacterium
Lineage: Bacteria
Description: partial 16S ribosomal RNA
Rfam family: Bacterial small subunit ribosomal RNA
Source: RNAcentral